This 871-nucleotide ribosomal RNA is filed under the name Hahnia zhejiangensis. RNAcentral's name for it is "SSU rRNA". It matches the Rfam family "Eukaryotic small subunit ribosomal RNA", at positions 47 to 917 of the family's 1831-position model. The record is from RNAcentral. Lineage: Eukaryota; Metazoa; Arthropoda; Arachnida; Araneae; Hahniidae.
AGCCAUGCAUGUCUAAGUACAUGCCGUAUCAAGGCGAAACCGCGAAUGGCUCAUUAAAUCAGUUAUGGUUCCUUGGAUCGUACCUUACUACUUGGAUAACUGUGGCAAUUCUAGAGCUAAUACAUGCAGCAGAGCUCCGACCUUCGGGGACGAGCGCUUUUAUUAGAACAAAACCCAUCGGACCUCGUGUCCGUCUCUUGUGGUGACUCUGUAUAACUUUGGGCUGAUCGCACGGGCCUGUCCCGGCGACGUAUCCUUCAAGUGUCUGCCUUAUCAACUUUCGAUGGUAGGUUACGCGCCUACCAUGGUCGUAACGGGUAACGGGGAAUCAGGGUUCGAUUCCGGAGAGGGAGCCUGAGAAACGGCUACCACAUCCAAGGAAGGCAGCAGGCGCGCAAAUUACCCAAUCCCAGAACGGGGAGGUAGUGACGAAAAAUAACAAUACGGGACUCUAUUGAGACCCCGUAAUUGGAAUGAGUACACUCUAAAUCCUUUAACGAUUAUCCAUUAGAGCAACAGUCUGGUGCCAGCACGCGCGGUAAUUCCAGCUCUAAUAGCGUAUAUUAAAGUUGUUGCGGUUAAAAAGCUCGUAGUUGGAUCUCAGUUCCAGACGGGUGGUCCGCCUACCGGUGGUUACUGCCUGUUCUGAACAGCCAGCCGGUUUCUCUUGAUGAUCUUCACCGGUUGUCUUGAGUGACCGGCAAGUUUACUUUGAAAAAAUUAGAGUGCUCAAGGCAGGCGUGACGCCUGAAUAAUGGUGCAUGGAAUAAUGGAAUAGGACCUCGGUUCUAUUUUGUUGGUUUUCGGAACACGAGGUAAUGAUUAAGAGGGACAGACGGGGGCAUUCGUAUUGCGACGCUAGAGGUGAAAU